RNAcentral lists this ribosomal RNA (250 nucleotides) under uncultured Chroococcidiopsis sp. Its description in RNAcentral is "partial 16S ribosomal RNA". It matches the Rfam family "Bacterial small subunit ribosomal RNA", at positions 796 to 1044 of the family's 1533-position model. The record is from RNAcentral. Lineage: Bacteria; Bacillati; Cyanobacteriota; Cyanophyceae; Chroococcidiopsidales; Chroococcidiopsidaceae.
CUAGCCGUAAACGAUGGAUACUAGGCGUUGUGAGUAUCGACCCUCACAGUGUCGUAGCUAACGCGUUAAGUAUCCCGCCUGGGGAGUACGCGCGCAAGCGUGAAACUCAAAGGAAUUGACGGGGGCCCGCACAAGCGGUGGAGUAUGUGGUUUAAUUCGAUGCAACGCGAAGAACCUUACCAGGACUUGACAUGUCGCGAAUCUCAGGGAAACUUGAGAGCGCCUUCGGGAGCGCGAACACAGGUGGUGC